RNAcentral lists this ribosomal RNA (597 nucleotides) under uncultured bacterium. RNAcentral describes it as "bacterial SSU rRNA". It matches the Rfam family "Bacterial small subunit ribosomal RNA", at positions 55 to 643 of the family's 1533-position model. The record is from RNAcentral.
AUGCAAGUCGAGCGGUAACAGGGGAAGCUUGCUUCCCGCUGACGAGCGGCGGACGGGUGAGUAAUGCUUAGGAAUCUGCCCAGUAGUGGGGGAUAGCCCGGGGAAACCCGGAUUAAUACCGCAUACGUCCUACGGGAGAAAGCAGGGGAUCUUCGGACCUUGCGCUAUUGGAUGAGCCUAAGUCGGAUUAGCUAGUUGGUGGGGUAAAGGCCUACCAAGGCGACGAUCCGUAGCUGGUCUGAGAGGAUGAUCAGCCACAUCGGGACUGAGACACGGCCCGAACUCCUACGGGAGGCAGCAGUGGGGAAUAUUGGACAAUGGGGGCAACCCUGAUCCAGCCAUGCCGCGUGUGUGAAGAAGGCUUUCGGGUUGUAAAGCACUUUCAGUAGGGAGGAAAACCUUAUGGUUAAUACCCAUGAGGCUCGACGUUACCUACAGAAGAAGCACCGGCUAACUCCGUGCCAGCAGCCGCGGUAAUACGGAGGGUGCAAGCGUUAAUCGGAAUUACUGGGCGUAAAGCGCGCGUANGUGGUUUGGUAAGCGAGAUGUGAAAGCCCCGGGCUUAACCUGGGAACGGCAUUUCGAACUGUCAGACUA